AAGCGCUUGCAACCAGACUUGCGCGCUGAUGAUCAUCCGGGCUUUUGCCUGGUGCACUCGUCUGCGCUCAGGCCAGCAUCGGUUUCGGUGGUGGGAUAAAGGCCUUGGGAAUGUGGCUCCUCCGGGAGUGUUAUAGCCCAUUGUGUAAUACCCUGUGGUGGACUGAGGUUCGCGCAUCUGCAAGGAUGCUGGCGUAAUGGU
RNAcentral lists this ribosomal RNA (201 nucleotides) under Helotiales sp. RNAcentral's name for it is "partial large subunit ribosomal RNA". Lineage: Eukaryota; Fungi; Ascomycota; Leotiomycetes; Helotiales. The record is from RNAcentral.